AAAUAUACGGGCAGUGGAGGAGGAGAAAAUGUGUAGACCCAGGGGCUAGUCUGUGAAAUGGGGAUAAAAUAAUCGUGAGCUUAUAAUGAAGAUUAAACAAAAUAAGGUGUGUUGGAAGUGGUAACUGGUGUUUAUUACUGGUUGGUAAAUAAAGAUAAUGGAAGUACAGUCACUCUAAAGGAUUAAAAAUUUCAACAGCCUCAAGGUGCUUCAGGGCAACACGAGUAAUAGGAAUUAAGACCUUCCAAAUGCUACCGAAAAGAGGUGCCUCAUUUUACUGAAAGCAACUUUCCCCACAUUGGAGAACCAGAUCCCCAGCCCUUUUCGCCCCGGCAUCACCUUGGUGAAACUUCAAGAAUGUGCCCAUACACAAAAGAGAAUUUGCUCCUCCUUCUGGGAAACUGCUUCCUCCGGGCCCCAUCGGGUUUGCCAGAACCAGCUGGAAAGUUCUGCAAUCUUAACUACUUCAGGACAUCAGAUCUGGUCAAGGUCCAGGCUAUAAGGUGUUAGCACCUAGGGGUGGACUGCAGUGGAGAGAGAGAGAGAGAAAAAAAAAGAGAGAGAAUGGGAGAGAGGGAGGGAGGGAGGCAGGGGGACCCCGUGUGUUCCGCAAAGUGCCUCUCUCCUGCACCCAGCCAUGAGUGUAUGAAAUAAUUCCUCCUUUGUCCACCAGCUGGCUUUCAAAGCUGUCGGGAUGAGCCUGCUGGACCUGUCUGGGAAGCUUGUUAAACUGCACCGAUGAACUCAUCCCUUCCCCAAAUCGUGCUGAUGACCUCAUCAUCUGCAGCUGUGUGCUCUGAGCUCACCCACCCUUCAGCUCCCAGGGGAUCACAUCUGGCGGGGGAGCCCUGGUACCUGGGGCGGGCACAUCUGGAGGUAACUCCCCUUGGAAAUGGAGGGCUUUGUGACCUCCUUUCACUCUUACCGACCACGCAGCCAAGUAGCAAAGGGGCUCUCAGCAAU
Molecule: long non-coding RNA, 963 nt
Filed under: Vulpes vulpes (red fox)
Lineage: Eukaryota; Metazoa; Chordata; Mammalia; Carnivora; Canidae
Description: lncRNA (ENSVVUG00000000897.1)
Source: RNAcentral